Molecule: long non-coding RNA, 841 nt
Filed under: Pan troglodytes (chimpanzee)
Lineage: Eukaryota; Metazoa; Chordata; Mammalia; Primates; Hominidae
Description: long non-coding RNA NONPTRT004863
Source: RNAcentral
GACCAAGUUCCUUUGUGUUUCAGAGGGUCCUCCGCGGAAGGGCAGCUGAAUGGACUCCAAAGCAGCCUUAACCCUGCAGCCUUUGUGCCCAUCACCAGCUCUACAGGAUCUUUGGAUACUCCCCAAGUUAUUUUCGCCACAUCCAAACCCUUGCCCACACAAUCUGAAGCCCUUGCUGCAGUUAUAGGACAGAGAAAAUCAAAGUCGGUGAAGUCAGGGCCAAUUUAAGGUAACGAUCCUGCUCACACUAAAAUAUGAACCACAAACACACAGAGAAACAACCUGUUCACCACUCCUGGGUGCAUGAUUGAGGGUGAAGCAUCCACCAGCACUUCAAGGGGUCCAUAGUAUUUUUUUUUUUUUGCUGCCUCAAAGUCCCCAAAGCCUUCGAGCAGAAGUGGCAGUAGAUGGUUGCUAAUCAGCCAAUGCAGACUUUCACUGGGACAACAGGAAAGCAGAUCUUCUGGGUUUUGAUGGAACUUGGCAGUGGGGACAUUCAGCUGAUGCAUUAUAUACCCCGUCAGAGCACACUUGUAUCUUUUACCUUCCCUUUGCCCCAUGCCCCCAAACUGCUUAAGUCUUCUCUGUCCCUUUACUGCUGCUGCACAGAGAUGAUAUAAAAGAGGCUCUUUGGCUAUUUGCAUUUUGCUUCCUCUUCUUUUCCAGAUUACAGUAUGACGCUUUAUUUUCUUUGUACAAGCUUAAAAUUUCAACAUCAUCAUGCGCCAAAGUUGUUCCUCCCUUUUCGGAGGAUCUAGGGGGAAAGAGGAGCAUUCAUCACAAGUUUCCUAGAGAGAGGAGACAAAUCGGUGUGCUGUUGACAACAUGAGCCAGGGUAAAG